Long non-coding RNA from Oncorhynchus keta (chum salmon), 971 nucleotides. RefSeq lists it as uncharacterized. Lineage: Eukaryota; Metazoa; Chordata; Actinopteri; Salmoniformes; Salmonidae. The transcript has 3 exons. The record is from RefSeq and is a predicted model, not a curated record.
UAGGGAUCUAAAAGAGUUGAGUUAUUACCGACGACAACAUGACCUGAUGCUAGGAGCUUGUCAGUGGUUUUAUGUCAGUUGGAAAGGAUCUAUUUUAAACUCUGGGAAAUAUGUCUCUUUUAGUUGAUUGAGGUCAGUUCAGUUGAACACAGGUUUUUCUGUAUGUAAUAUUAUUUGUUUAGUAAAAAGCGAGAGCUGGCUAGUAGAGGUUGUGACAAACGGCGAGUAAACUCUAGGCUAUGGUGUAGGAAUAAAGAGAGUCAUAAUUUAUACAAGCUAUAAGCUCCCAGUAAUGUAUUUGGUAAAAAAACUAUUGGGUAAUGAACUAAUGGAGAAAUUAUCGGUCAAUGAAAUCAUGAUAUCAUUCUAGAGAGGAAUUAAUUUAUAUUUUGUGCCACAUAUCGCUGCAUGUUUUAGCAGGUAUCUCCACACCUCGGCAUGUUUUAGCAGGUAUCUCCACACCUCUGCAUGUUUUAGCAGGUAUCUCCACACCUCGGCAUGUUUUAGCAGGUAUCUCCACACCUCUGCAUGUUUUAGCAGGUAUCUCCACACCUCUGCAUGUUUUAGCAGGUAUCUCCACACCUCUGCAUGUUUUAACAGGUAUCUCCACACCUCCACAUGUUUUAGCAGGUAUCUCCACACCUCUGUAUGUUUUAGCAGGUAUCUCCACACCUCCACAUGUUUUAGCAGGUAUCUCCACACCUCUGUAUGUUUUAACAGGUAUCUCCACACCUCUACAUGUUUUAGCAGAUAUCUCCACACCUCCACAUGUUUUAGCAGGUAUCUCCACACCUCUGUAUGUUUUAGCAGAUAUCUCCACACCUCUACAUGUUUUAGCAGGUAUCUCCACACCUCUACAUGUUUUAGCAGAUAUCUCCACACCUCUACAUGUUUUAGCAGGUAUCUCCACACCUCUGCAUGUUUUAGCAGAUAUCUCCACACCUCUGCAUGUUUUAGCAGGUAUCUCCACA